Molecule: ribosomal RNA, 462 nt
Filed under: uncultured bacterium
Lineage: Bacteria
Description: bacterial SSU rRNA
Rfam family: Bacterial small subunit ribosomal RNA
Source: RNAcentral
AAUCAACGCUGGCGGCGUGCCUAACACAUGCAAGUCGAACGCGAAAAUCCCGCAAGGGAUUAGUAGAGUGGCAAACGGGUGAGUAACGCGUGGGUGACCUGCCUUCGAGCGGGGGAUAACGUUCCGAAAGGGACGCUAAUACCGCAUAACAUCCUGCCUUUGAAGAGGUGGAGAUCAAAGCUGGGGAUCGCAAGACCUAGCACUUGAAGAGGGGCCCGCGUCUGAUUAGCUAGUGGUGAGGUAACGGCUCACCAAGGCUUCGAUCAGUAUCCGGCCUGAGAGGGCGGACGGACACACUGGGACUGAGACACGGCCCAGACUCCUACGGGAGGCAGCAGUGGGGAAUUGUUCGCAAUGGGCGCAAGCCUGACGACGCAACGCCGCGUGGAGGAUGAAGAUUUUCGGAUCGUAAACUCCUGUCGAACGGGACGAAGAGAUCGACGGGUGAACAACUCGUAGUCC